AAUUUGAUGAGUGCUUAUGUAAUUAAAUUACACAUAAAAAUAUCAUCAACAAAGAGUUUAGCUACACAGUCAAAUUCUCAGUCCUCACACACAAUCAUCCCAACUGUACAAUUCUUGAUCCAACAAUCGAAAAGACGGAAGCAUCAAAUCAUCUAUAUUUUCGGUAGCAUAGUAGCUCUACACACACACACACACACACACACACACACACAUAUUGGUUUUAUU
This 225-nucleotide long non-coding RNA is filed under the name Ananas comosus (pineapple). RNAcentral describes it as "long non-coding RNA (ACOM_LNC033407)". The record is from RNAcentral. Lineage: Eukaryota; Viridiplantae; Streptophyta; Magnoliopsida; Poales; Bromeliaceae.